UCAUGACCUGCACUGAUAAAAAUGGAAAUAUAUAAAGUAAAAACUGUGCUAAGCAAAUAGUGAUUAACCAAGUCUUCAACCAAUCGGUCAGUCAAUUAGGCUACUAAUGAGAAAAUUCUGUCUGUCUUGAUCUGUCUGGUGACUGACGUUUAUAUUGUUUAAAUAUAUAAUAUAUAAACUAUUGGUUUUCUGACGAGCAGUAAUACAUGAUGUGCAGUUGCUGUUCAUUUACUGAGCCUAUGUCGAAAUCUACUACUGGAGAUAUGAACUGAUAUGAAAUGGUCAUAGAAAACCUGUGUCCUACUGUAUUGCACCAUGACUAUAUCGUCCUCUAGUGUCAGUCUGAAGUGCUGCUCAGGAAGCUGCCACCUGGUGUUUGGGCAGUAUUAAACAUCAGCCAAACCAGAAUGCCUUCUCUGUAAAUGAAGAUUAAAAAUGCUUGUUUAUAUGCCACACAAAUUCUUGUCAUGUGACCUGAUAGUCAACAAUAUUUACAAUUAAGUUAAAAUGUUAUGUUCAGUGAAUGUAAUUCUGGGUCUAAUAACCAUGCCUGGAUGUAUUACUCCAUCACUGCUUUUUAUGUUUAUACUGGUCAGUCUUAAUAGUUAAAAAUUAAUCUUAAUUAAAUAUUAGGUAGAACCUUUAGCACCAGUUUACAUGAUUCACAACCAUAGUAAAAGCACAAAUGAGUAAUGUCAUCAUUUAAUGAUUACUUUACCCUGGGACUUUCUUUUCUUACCCGUGUCCUUCUUGAAGUCUUUUGACUUUUAAACUUUUUAGUAUGAAAAUAGAUAUGAUUUUAUGGUUGUGUAAUAAUCUUGCUGACAUGAAGAUAUUGCUCACAUGUGCAUGUAUCUGUCCUGUCCUACAUCGGUUUCAGCUGCUCAACUGUCAUUUCAUGUUUCUGUUUUUAAAUACCUCACCAUUUCUCCUACUGUACUGAAACCUUUUUUAAGUAGCAGUUUAGAUUUUUACUACUGGAAUGUUUUUUUUUUUUUGCAUCAAUAAACCUGAACAGACAUUUGGAAUUGUUAUAUUUCUACCUGAUACUUUCAAAGAACAGGUUCUAAACUUUUAGCUAGUUGUAUGAAAAUACAGUUUCUUAAAUUAGUUGCAUUUUUCUAGAUGAUUUUUACAGCAAUUUAGCGGUUUAACAUUUUUCUAUGCAAUUGAUAUUAUUGUGAAUAUAGUCCUCACCCUAAGAAUAUCAUUACAUUAGAGAAAUAUUAAAGAGUAAAUCUGUAUAGACGUCAGGCACAAACACAAGAGUUUACACAAUAAAGGCUCAGCCGUAUCCAUUUAGUCAUUUUGGUGCCAUUUACUGUGAGCAGACGUUACGUUUGCAUGAUUUAAAAUCUGAAAAAAAUAAAGGUUAUGAGAGCCAGAGAAUGUGCCAGUCUUACAGGAUGGGUGUACUUUUCCAGAGGAUCUUUGAUGGAACAGUCAAGACAAACAAGGUUAACGUGAAAGCACUUCAGUGUGGCAGAAACAUGCAAUUGCAACACUGAUGGAGCCCUCAGUGCUAUGGACAGAGAGGCAGAUUUACUAUGUGGGUUGUGGAUAUGUUGCAGACUGGAUACCUUAAAUGCAUCACAAGUACUUGUAACAAACAAUCUGAACCUCUAUACGUGAA
This is a long non-coding RNA of Sinocyclocheilus grahami, 1633 nucleotides long. RefSeq lists it as uncharacterized. The transcript has 2 exons. The record is from RefSeq and is a predicted model, not a curated record. Lineage: Eukaryota; Metazoa; Chordata; Actinopteri; Cypriniformes; Cyprinidae.